This 292-nucleotide ribosomal RNA is filed under the name uncultured bacterium. Its description in RNAcentral is "partial 16S ribosomal RNA". It matches the Rfam family "Bacterial small subunit ribosomal RNA", at positions 505 to 796 of the family's 1533-position model. The record is from RNAcentral.
GUGUCAGCCGCCGCGGUAAUACGUAGGCAGCAAGCGUUGUUCGGAAUUACUGGGCGUAAAGGGUGCGUAGGUGGUUGGCCAAGUUUGGUGUGAAAUCUCCCGGCUUAACUGGGAGGGUGCGCCGAAAACUGGUCGGCUAGAGUGUGGGAUAGGGAAGCGGAAUUCCUGGUGUAGCGGUGAAAUGCGUAGAUAUCAGGAGGAACGCCUGCGGUGUAGACGGCUUCCUGGACCAUGACUGACACUGAAGCACGAAAGCGUGGGUAGCAAACAGGAUUAGAUACCCGUGUAGUCC